GUAAAUGUAGCUUAAUUACAAAAGCAAGGCACUGAAAAUGCCUAGAUGAAUUUAUAUAAUUCCAUUAACA
This is a non-coding RNA of Chrysochloris asiatica (Cape golden mole), 70 nucleotides long. The record is from the annotation of a RefSeq genome assembly. Lineage: Eukaryota; Metazoa; Chordata; Mammalia; Afrosoricida; Chrysochloridae.